Long non-coding RNA from Oncorhynchus keta (chum salmon), 239 nucleotides. RefSeq lists it as uncharacterized. NCBI's taxonomy places the organism in Eukaryota, Metazoa, Chordata, Actinopteri, Salmoniformes, Salmonidae. The record is from RefSeq and is a predicted model, not a curated record. The transcript is spliced from 3 exons.
CCCUGAUUUAGCCCACUGCAGUAGAAGGUUACAGACCUCUGUGUGGCCCUGAUUUAGCCCACUGCAGUAGAAGGUUACAGACCUCUGUGUGGCCCUGAUUUAGCCCACUGCAGUAGAAGGUUACAGACCUCUGUGGGGCCCUGAUUUAGCCCACUGCAGUAGAAGGUUACAGACCUCUGUGUGGCCCUGAUUUAGCCCACUGCAGUAGAAGGUUACAGACCUCUGUGUGGCCCUGAUUU